Molecule: ribosomal RNA, 564 nt
Filed under: Triticum aestivum (bread wheat)
Lineage: Eukaryota; Viridiplantae; Streptophyta; Magnoliopsida; Poales; Poaceae
Description: partial small subunit ribosomal RNA
Source: RNAcentral
AUGAGUUGUUUGAGCUGGAACUGACAGGGGCUUAGGAACCCCGAGGCAGUUCAAGAACUUCGCAGUAUUGUGAAGUUAGAAGGACCCACUCUUCUCUUUGUAAUGGAAACAAAAAUUAGAGCAAAAAGAGUUGAUGAUUUGAAGCAUACACUAGGUUUUAGUGGAUGUUUUGCUGUAGACAGUGUUGGCCUUAGUGGCGACAUUGGUAUUUUCUGGUCUCGAGAUGUAACUGUUGAGUUAAAGAACUAUAGCCAAUGUCACAUUGAUGUGGGUGUCCAGAGUAAUAAUCAACAUUCGGCUUAUUGGCGCUUUACUGGUUUUUACGGAGCUCCGCGAGCAGAAGAUAGACAUCACAACUGGCAGUUCUUGCGUGCACUUCACAAUAUACCACAUGCAGCUUGGUUGAGCAUGGGGGAUUAUAAUGAGACGUUGUAUGCCUAUGAGCACUUUAGUAGAGCAGCGAAGUCUGAAAAUCAUAUGCGUGCUUUCAGGGAAGUUACCGAUGAGAUCUCUCUCCAAGACUUGGGCUGGUCUGGUACAAUCUAUACUUGGGAUAAUCAUUAG